AUUGAACGCUGGCGGCAUGCCUUACACAUGCAAGUCGAACGGCAGCAUGAUCUAGCUUGCUAGAUUGAUGGCGAGUGGCGAACGGGUGAGUAAUACAUCGGAACGUGCCCUGUAGUGGGGGAUAACUAGUCGAAAGAUUAGCUAAUACCGCAUACGACCUGAGGGUGAAAGUGGGGGACCGCAAGGCCUCAUGCUAUAGGAGCGGCCGAUGUCUGAUUAGCUAGUUGGUGAGGUAAAGGCUCACCAAGGCGACGAUCAGUAGCUGGUCUGAGAGGACGAUCAGCCACACUGGGACUGAGACACGGCCCAGACUCCUACGGGAGGCAGCAGUGGGGAAUUUUGGACAAUGGGCGAAAGCCUGAUCCAGCAAUGCCGCUUGUGUGAAGAAGGCCUUCGGGUUGUAAAGCACUUUUGUCCGGAAAGAAAUGGCUCUGGUUAAUACCUGGGGUCGAUGACGGUACCGGAAGAAUAAGAACCGGCUAACUACGUG
RNAcentral lists this ribosomal RNA (490 nucleotides) under uncultured bacterium. RNAcentral describes it as "partial 16S ribosomal RNA". It matches the Rfam family "Bacterial small subunit ribosomal RNA", at positions 30 to 507 of the family's 1533-position model. The record is from RNAcentral.